Molecule: ribosomal RNA, 444 nt
Filed under: Triticum aestivum (bread wheat)
Lineage: Eukaryota; Viridiplantae; Streptophyta; Magnoliopsida; Poales; Poaceae
Description: partial small subunit ribosomal RNA
Source: RNAcentral
AUGGCCACCGCUGAUGUCCAGAACCCGACGGCCGCGCUGACGGAGGAGGCGCCCACGGUGGAGACGCCCGUCGCCGCCGAGGAGGUCGCGAAGACGGAGGAGGCCCCCGCGCCGGCCGAGGCCGAGGUCAAGGCGCCUGCUGCCCCCGUCGAGGUCGAGGAGACCAAGGAGGUGGCACCUGCCGCCGCUGAGACGGAGGAGGCCAAGGAGCCCGAGCCAGCAGCUGCGGCCGAGCCGGAGGCCGAGGCCCCCAAAGAGACAGAGGCGCCAGCCGUGGUCGAGACAGAGACCAAGGAGGCCGUGGCUGAGGCAGAGCCAGCGCGGCCGUGUGCUCCUACGUGGCACGGCGUGAUGCUGAGUCAGCCAGUGGAGUGGAGUGGAAUGAUACUUUUUACUAGGUGUGGAGUGGGAGUGCUAUGCGCGGGGUCGCGUGACGUGGGCUAA